This 217-nucleotide long non-coding RNA is filed under the name Actinidia chinensis (golden kiwifruit). RNAcentral describes it as "long non-coding RNA (ACHI_LNC003605)". Lineage: Eukaryota; Viridiplantae; Streptophyta; Magnoliopsida; Ericales; Actinidiaceae. The record is from RNAcentral.
UCGCGCUUCCCUCAGCCUCCUCCGAGACCGACCUUUCCAUCGGUCUCUCUCUACCUAGAUGUUUCUCUCUCUAUCUCUCUGUUUCUAUGUAUUUUAUUCAUUCGAUCGGUGUAUUGAUUUUGCAGGCAGUAUUUUCAGCGCCGGUGGCGGUGGACCGUUCGAGAAGGUGUUGUCGUCCAAUUGGGUCGACAUGAUCGACAGAUUUCAGAAGUCGGCA